AUCAACGCUGGCGGCGUGCCUCAGACAUGCAAGUCGAACGAUUAAAGCUCUCUUCGGAGAGUGUAUAGAGUGGCGCACGGGUGAGUAACACGUAAGUAAUCUACCUUUGAGUGGGAAUAACAGUCGGAAACGGCUGCUAAUACCGCAUAACGCAGCGGCACCGCAAGGUGACAGUUGUUAAGGAGCAAUCCGCUUAAAGAGGAGCUUGCGGCAGAUUAGCNGUUGGUAAGGUAACGGCUUACCAAGGCUACGAUCUGUAUCCGGUCUAAGAGGACGGUCGGACACACUGACACUGAAUAACGGGUCAGACUCCUACGGGAGGCAGCAGU
RNAcentral lists this ribosomal RNA (329 nucleotides) under uncultured bacterium. RNAcentral describes it as "bacterial SSU rRNA". It matches the Rfam family "Bacterial small subunit ribosomal RNA", at positions 32 to 355 of the family's 1533-position model. The record is from RNAcentral.